CAGCGCUUUGCGGCAGCAAUCGGUGGGUUGAGACGGCCUCGCUCGGCGCUUCAGGGACGUGCGCCGGCCCUCAGCGUAGUUGUAGCAUCAGUCCUCUCCACCCUUUUGGUUUUGUUCUAUUACUCUUUUUUUAAGUCUUCUUUUCUCUCACGUGCGCUUCUUCCGGACUCGUGACUGGCGCUGUAGUGCUGGAUGAGCUUUUGUCGUGUAGCUCAUUCACGAGCAGAACCCAACUGGUUUUGUGUAGUAAACAGAAUCGCGUCGUUCCCUACAGGCUGUUGGUGGGGUUUGCAGUCACUGAUGGGGCCUCCUUAGUGCUCAGUAGUACAGAGUCAGUAACAGCCAGUCAAUUUUGUAUACCCAUGCAAAUAGCCAGCAACCACUGUGUUUAAAAUCGAGGAGGUCUGCUUGAAUUCAGGGAUCCAGGUGCCCAAAACACUGUCAGCUUGAUGUUUUAGCUGUUUUCCAUAUUCAGUGUGUCAUCAAACAUGGAUUUUUUUGUCAUUUUCAGGCUGUGAUAUUUUACUUCUAGAGUUUGGUAUUCGCUAUGCAGAAUUCUCCAGAAGUACAAAAGGAGAAGCCAUCAAGUAGGCAAGGCUGUAGCAUAAGAUGUUGCUGAGACCUGCUGUUGUCCCAUGGACCUCACUGCACACUCUCUUCUUCAGUUUGCCAGAAAAAUCUACCUGCAGGGUACAGCACGGAGUCAAAUCAACUGAAAAUUUUAGCAUUUUGCAUUUUUAACACCAUUUUAUGUAGUUUCAAGUAUCAAGUGAACUGGACUUCAAUGUGAUAUCAUGAUGUUCAUUCUCUGCUUGGUCCUUGUCAUCUUCUAAGUCAAAUUCACACUUUUGUCUUGUACAUUUUGAAGAUCAGCAGGAUCCUUCACUGAGAAGUAUGAAGUACAUCAGGAGAGAAGAUCAUGUUCAUCGUGUUCAGCAGCUGAAGAGUUUUCUAAACUCAAUUAGUGCAAGAAUGCUGUGACCAAUGGAAAAAUGUUUGAUGCUUGCCAGAAAGCAAAUCUCCCCAGCUCUUGAAAAUAGCGUUCUGAAAACAAGAAGAAUAUUUUUGAACUGGAACGGUUACAUGCUGGUCCAAAAGAGAGAUGAAAGGCAUAGAGCAGUUUCCAUAGAAGCAAAGGCCAGUUGGAUUUGAAAAAAAGGGUGCUGGAGUUGAACACAAUUAUCUACAAAUAAUGAGCAGUUUGGAGAAGUUCAGUAGCAGCAAUCUUACAGCUAUUGCUUUCAACCACUGUUUCAGAAGUUACAGAAGGCAAAUCUGGAACCUCAGGACAAAGGAAGGGUAAAUGGUACAACAGUCACAUACUUAAUUCUGGCUGAAGAGUGCUGUACGGGGAUGCCAAAUCCCACACCACAGUCUGUUCAGCAGUGACCACGUGCUGCCACUGCAGAGGCGGACAAGUGCUUGAAGGUGGCCCACAAUCUAAAGUAUUGGACAUAGCUGUUGGUUUCUUCAAAUACA
This 1479-nucleotide long non-coding RNA is filed under the name Gallus gallus (chicken). RNAcentral's name for it is "lncRNA (ENSGALG00010014826.1)". Lineage: Eukaryota; Metazoa; Chordata; Aves; Galliformes; Phasianidae. The record is from RNAcentral.